ACCUUAACGAGGAACAAUUGGAGGGCAAGUCUGGUGCCAGCAGCCGCGGUAAUUCCAGCUCCAAUAGUGUAUAUUAAAGUUGCUGCGGUUAAAAAGCUCGUAGUUGGAUUUCGGAGUUGUUAUCUGAACCUUCUCGCCAUAAAAAGUGGGGGGGCUAAGGUAGCAGUAGUUUUCAUCAUAGUCCACCAGGAUACUCUCUUGGUGUGUACUGGGUGUUAACCUCCUUUUUUCUGGUACUUGCUAUCCAGCAAUGGGUAGUUUUGUCCAGAUAGUUUACUUUGAAAAAAUUAGAGUGUUCAAAGCAGGCAUAAUUGGCAUCAUGAAUACAUUAGCAUGGGAUAAUAGAAUAUGACAUUGGUCUUAUUUUGUUGGUUUCUAAGGCCAAAGUAAUGAUUGAUAGGGAUAGUUGGGGCCGCUCGUAUUGAGUUGUCAGAGGUGAAAUUCUAGGAUUUACUCAAGACGAACUAAUGCGAAAGCAUUCGGCAAGGAUGUUUUCAUUAAUCAAGAACGAAAGUUGGGGAUCGAAGAUG
This 530-nucleotide ribosomal RNA is filed under the name uncultured eukaryote. Its description in RNAcentral is "bacterial SSU rRNA". It matches the Rfam family "Eukaryotic small subunit ribosomal RNA", at positions 531 to 1006 of the family's 1831-position model. The record is from RNAcentral.